RNAcentral lists this ribosomal RNA (451 nucleotides) under uncultured bacterium. Its description in RNAcentral is "bacterial SSU rRNA". It matches the Rfam family "Bacterial small subunit ribosomal RNA", at positions 1052 to 1504 of the family's 1533-position model. The record is from RNAcentral.
UCGUCAGCUCGUGUCGUGAGAUGUUGGGUUAAGUCCCGCAACGAGCGCAACCCUUGUCAUUAGUUGCCAUCAUUAAGUUGGGCACUCUAAUGAGACUGCCGGUGACAAACCGGAGGAAGGUGGGGAUGACGUCAAGUCAUCAUGCCCCUUAUGACCUGGGCUACACACGUGCUACAAUGGACGGUACAACGAGAAGCGAACCUGCGAAGGCAAGCGGAUCUCUUAAAGCCGUUCUCAGUUCGGACUGUAGGCUGCAACUCGCCUACACGAAGCUGGAAUCGCUAGUAAUCGCGGAUCAGCACGCCGCGGUGAAUACGUUCCCGGGCCUUGUACACACCGCCCGUCACACCAUGGGAGUCUGCAAUGCCCAAAGCCGGUGGCCUAACCUUCGGGAAGGAGCCGUCUAAGGCAGGGCAGAUGACUGGGGUGAAGUCGUAACAAGGUAGCCGUA